RNAcentral lists this ribosomal RNA (253 nucleotides) under uncultured bacterium. RNAcentral describes it as "partial 16S ribosomal RNA". It matches the Rfam family "Bacterial small subunit ribosomal RNA", at positions 524 to 776 of the family's 1533-position model. The record is from RNAcentral.
UACGUAGGGUGCAAGCGUUAAUCGGAAUUACUGGGCGUAAAGCGUGCGCAGGCGGUGAUGUAAGACAGGUGUGAAAUCCCCGGGCUUAACCUGGGAACUGCAUUUGUGACUGCAUCGCUGGAGUGCGGCAGAGGGGGAUGGAAUUCCGCGUGUAGCAGUGAAAUGCGUAGAUAUGCGGAGGAACACCGAUGGCGAAGGCAAUCCCCUGGGCCUGCACUGACGCUCAUGCACGAAAGCGUGGGGAGCAAGCAGG